This 1283-nucleotide unclassified non-coding RNA is filed under the name Acyrthosiphon pisum (pea aphid). RNAcentral's name for it is "annexin IX-like". The record is from RNAcentral. Lineage: Eukaryota; Metazoa; Arthropoda; Insecta; Hemiptera; Aphididae.
UGUAAGCAGUCUGUCUGGCACCGUUGCGGGCGAACGAUCGCACAAUACAAUAUUAUUAUUAUCAUUAUAAUAUUAUUAUAGUCUUAUUCCGUUCGGCGCAGUGUGCACACACAAACGACGUGCAAUUUUCGGGCUCUGAUCCUACUGCGGAACUCCGUCGGCGACACUACACCAUCCGAUAAUAUCAACAUGACUUACUACACGACCAGGUGCACUCCCACGGUCCGCCCGGCAGCCGAUUUCGACGCCGAAGCCGACGCCGCCGUACUUAGGGCAGCCAUGAAAGGAUUCGGUACGGACGAGCAGGCCAUCAUCGACGUGCUGGCAAGACGGUCCAACACUCAGAGACAGGAGAUCAAAGAAGCUUUCAAGACACUCUACGGAAAGGAUUUAAUCGACGAUCUGAAGAGCGAACUCGGUGGGAACUUCGAGAACGCCAUCGUCGCUCUGAUGACUCCACUUCCGGAGUUCUAUGCCAAGGAGUUGAAAGACGCCAUCAGUGGCGUGGGCACUGACGAAGAGGCCAUUGCCGAAAUUUUGGGCACUCUCAGCAACUUCGGAGUCCGAACCAUUUCCUCUGUCUACGAAAAACAAUACGGAAACUCGUUGGAAGACGAUUUGAAAUCCGACACUUCGGGAUCUUUCCAGAGGUUGUUGGUGUCUUUGUGCUGUGCCAAUCGCGAUGAAGACGUGGAAGUCGAUCGCAGCGCCGCAGUCGCAGACGCCCAGGCUCUAAUCGACGCAGGUGAAGCUCAAUGGGGCACGGACGAGUCGACUUUCAAUUCGAUUUUGGCCACCCGCUCCUAUCCACAGCUGAGAGCCAUUUUCGAAGAGUACGAGAACCUCACUGGCAAGGACAUCGUAGAGACUAUCAAGAACGAAACUUCCGGCGCUCUGGAACACGGCUUUUUGACCAUCGUGAAAAGUGCCAAGAAGAAGAGCGACUACUACGCCGACCAGUUGGAAGCUUCGAUGGCGGGCUUCGGCACCAGCGACCGUCAGCUGAUCAGGAUCAUCGUGGGCAGAUCUGAAAUCGAUUUGGGAGACAUCAAACAGUCCUACGAGACCAUUUACGGUACUCCGUUGGCCGACAGAAUCGCCGGCGACACCUCUGGGGAUUACAAGCGUCUGUUAUUGGCUCUCGUGCUCUAAUAAAGCUUAGAAAUGCAUGAGGAAAGGCACUUCAGUUCUUGCUUUAUACCUGUACCGACUUUUAAUUUCAUAGCGAUUGUGGUUCAGAUUACAAAAAUUUGCUUAUCACACUUGUGUCGCAAUAAUGUUUU